RNAcentral lists this long non-coding RNA (1336 nucleotides) under Piliocolobus tephrosceles (Ugandan red Colobus). RNAcentral's name for it is "lncRNA (ENSPTEG00000006415.1)". The record is from RNAcentral. Lineage: Eukaryota; Metazoa; Chordata; Mammalia; Primates; Cercopithecidae.
GCAUAUAUAUAUAUAUAUAUAUAUACAUCUAUUUGUAGCUUAAAUAUUAAAAAAUAAUUAUGCACUUAUAUAUUUCUGUCUGUCUGUGUAUAACUAUUUGAAAGUUUUUUUUUUUUUUACAUAUGUAAAGGUGUAUACACAAAGUUAUUAGCAUAAGCAAAAAAACAAAAAAAAUAAAAAAAUAAAAAAAUAAAAAAAAUAAGUAAAUGCAUAUUCACUUUCUCAUUUUAUUGGUUCGUUUAUGUUAUUUAUCUAUUUAUUUAUUUACUUAUUUAUUUAUUUAUUUACUUAUUUAUUUAUUUAUUUAUUUAUUUACUUAUUUAUUUACUUAUUUAUUUAUUUAUUUACUUAUUUACUUAUUUAUUUAUUUAUUUAUUUAUUUACUUAUUUAUUUAUUUACUUAUUUAUUUAUUUAUUUACUUAUUUAUUUACUUAUUUAUUUAUUUGUUUAUUUAUUUGUUUAUUUUUUUUUUAUUUUGUAGAAUAUUAUUCCUAUGAUAGCUGUACCUAGCAAAAGAAACUAUUUUCAUGAAAAUGUAAGCAACGGGGAAGGUAAAAAGUCAUCAGAGCCUAUUUUUCAAAAAAAUAAGAAUAGUAAUAAAAAAAAUAUAAAUAAAUUUACAAAUAACAUACCGAGCUAUAUAACUAAAAGAAAUAAUUUUAAGUUAAGGAACAAAGCGGAGAUUAGUUUUUUUAGAAAUGACUUAGACGGUGGUAGUAGUAGUAGUAGUAUUAGUAGUAGUAGUAGUGGUAGUAGUAGUAGUAGUGGUAGUAGUCACGAGAGUUUUAUUAACAGUAAGCACGAGAGUGGUACUAGUGAUGAACAAAAUAAUAGUGACAAUAGCAUGGUUAUUAACGAUUCUGUUGAUAUUGAGGAGAAUAGUGACAAUAGCAUGGUUAUUAACGAUUCUGUUGAUAUUGAGGAUAAUCAUGAAAACCAUUUAAAAGGUAUUUUAAAAAAAAAAUCAAAUAAAAUUACAUAUUUGACAAAGACAAAUGUAGAACCAAGUGAACAAUAUACUUUUCCCCUUAAACAACUGAAAGAUAGUCAAUAUGUUGGGAUGAUAAUGGUGGGAAACCCUCCUCAAAUGAUUAGACCUAUCUUUGAUACAGGAACAAUGUGUGGGUAGUAAGCACAAGUUGUAAUGAUAAGACUUGUAAGAAAGUAAACAGGUUUAACCCCAAAGCAUCACGAACUUUUAGGUACUAUAAGCCGCUUACCCAUUUAGAUAUAAUGGUAAUAUAUAUAUAUAUAUAUCUCCAUGUUCUCACAAAUACAUACAUACUUACUUAUAUAUGUAUGUAUGUAUAUAUACAUUAUCGUUUUUUUUUUUUU